CGGAGAGUUUGAUCCUGGCUCAGGAUGAACGCUGGCGGCGUGCCUAAUACAUGCAAGUCGAACGCUUUGUGGUUCAACUGAUUUGAAGAGCUUGCUCAGAUAUGAUGAUGAACAUUGCAAAGAGUGGCGAACGGGUGAGUAACACGUGGGAAACCUACCUCUUAGCAGGGGAUAACAUUUGGAAACAGAUGCUAAUACCGUAUAACAAUAGCAACCGCAUGGUUGCUACUUAAAAGAUGGUUCUGCUAUCACUAAGAGAUGGUCCUGCGGUGCAUUAGUUAGUUGGUGAGGUAAUGGCUCACCAAGACGAUGAUGCAUAGCCGAGUUGAGAGACUGAUCGGCCACAAUGGGACUGAGACACGGCCCAUACUCCCACGGGAGGCAGCAGUAGGGAAUCUUCCACAAUGGGCGAAAGCCUGAUGGAGCAACGCCGCGUGUGUGAUGAAGGGUUUCGGCUCGUAAAACACUGUUGUAAGAGAAGAAUGACAUUGAGAGUAACUGUUCAAUGUGUGACGGUAUCUUACCAGAAAGGAACGGCUAAAUACGUGCCAGCAGCCGCGGUAAUACGUAUGUUCCAAGCGUUAUCCGGAUUUAUUGGGCGUAAAGCGAGCGCAGACGGUUAUUUAAGUCUGAAGUGAAAGCCCUCAGCUCAACUGAGGAAUUGCUUUGGAAACUGGAUGACUUGAGUGCAGUAGAGGAAAGUGGAACUCCAUGUGUAGCGGUGAAAUGCGUAGAUAUAUGGAAGAACACCAGUGGCGAAGGCGGCUUUCUGGACUGUAACUGACGUUGAGGCUCGAAAGUAUGGGUAGCAAACAGGAUUAGAUACCCUGGUAGUCCAUACCGUAAACGAUGAAUGC
This 857-nucleotide ribosomal RNA is filed under the name uncultured bacterium. Its description in RNAcentral is "bacterial SSU rRNA". It matches the Rfam family "Bacterial small subunit ribosomal RNA", at positions 1 to 816 of the family's 1533-position model. The record is from RNAcentral.